This 309-nucleotide ribosomal RNA is filed under the name Triticum aestivum (bread wheat). RNAcentral's name for it is "partial small subunit ribosomal RNA". Lineage: Eukaryota; Viridiplantae; Streptophyta; Magnoliopsida; Poales; Poaceae. The record is from RNAcentral.
AUGAGAAGAUGCAUUUGCCCAGUUCUUCACUUUUUCAAAAGUUUGUCAACAUGCCGGUCUGUUUUUCUCUCAGAGGAAGCCAUGCCUCUGUUGCAAGGCCUGGGCUGGGGUUGGGCUGUCAGCCAGUCAGGGUGGUGGUGCCGGCCGCUGCAUGGGGCAUGUCAGCGUUCGGUACACACCUGUCCUCUCCCCGGCGCGCCACCGCGCCGGAAUCAACCGCCACCUCCGCGUCUCUCUCUCCACGUCGGCAUCUUCUCCGACCAGAUCAUUGCACGCAUGCAUAUACUACUACUGCAUGCAUUAGUCUGA